GCUUGGGUGGCUCAGUGGUUGAGCGUCUGACUUUGGCUCAGAGCAUGAUCCCAGGCC
Molecule: transfer RNA, 57 nt
Filed under: Canis lupus familiaris (dog)
Lineage: Eukaryota; Metazoa; Chordata; Mammalia; Carnivora; Canidae
Also listed under: 1 other name
Source: Rfam by way of RNAcentral